This 2974-nucleotide ribosomal RNA is filed under the name Planctomycetota bacterium. RNAcentral describes it as "23S ribosomal RNA". It matches the Rfam family "Bacterial large subunit ribosomal RNA". The record is from RNAcentral. Lineage: Bacteria; Pseudomonadati; Planctomycetota.
GGUUAAGCUACUAAGAGUGAAUGGUGGAUGCCUUGGCGUCCAAAGCCUAUGAAGGACGUGGUUUAGCUGCGAUAAGCUUCGGGGAGCCGCUGAGCAGGCUAUGAUCCGGAGAUCUCCCAGAUCGGGAAACCGACCAGAAAUCAACCUCUGGUAGUGCGGAAGCGGAGGGAACGCAGAGAACUGAAACAUCUCAGUACCUGCAGGAAAGAAAAGAAAACUCGACUUCCCAAGUAGCGGCGAGCGAACGGGAAUCAGCCCAAACCGGCACAGUGUCAAGGUCGCGGCCGUUGCUGCGCCGGUGUUGUGGGAUCUGCAGGACUCCCCGCAGGAGUCCAGGAAGUUACAAACCCUAUCUCUAGAAGAAUGGCAUGGGAAGGCCAGCCGUAGAGGGUGACAGCCCCGUAGUCGAAAGAGAAUAGGACUUCCGCAGCGAUCCCAAGUAUCACCAGACACGAGAAACCUGGUGUGAAUCCGGGGGGACCACCCCCCAAGGCUAAGUACUCAUGGACGACCGAUAGUGCAAUAGUAGCGCGAGCGAAAGGCGAAAAGAACCCCGGUUAGGGGAGUGAAAUAGAACCUGAAACCGUUCACUUACAGGCUGUUGGAGGCCUAUGUCCCGCAAGGGAAACGGCUGACAGCGUGCCUUUUGCAUAAUGAUGUGGCGAGUUACUCUAUCUGGCAAGGUUAAGAGUCUCAGACUCGAAGCCGAAGGGAAACCGAGUGUGAAUAGCGCGAUACCAGUCAGGUGGAGUAGACCCGAAAGCCAGCGAUCUAUCCAUGAGCAGGCUGAAGCGGAUGUAACAGUCUGUGGAGGGCCGAACAGGUAUGGGUUGAAAACCGCUCCGAUGACUUGUGGAUAGGAGUGAAAGGCUUAUCAAGCUGGCAAAUAGCUGGUUCUCCCCGAAAUAGCUUUUGGGCUAGCCUCUGGAAUUAGCGUGUGGGGGUAGAGCUACUGAAUGGGAUAUGGGCCCUAACCCGGUACCAUACCUAAUCAAACUCCGAAUACCAUGCGCCCAAUCCAGGGUGUCAGACUGCGAGCGAUAAGGUCCGUGGUCGAGAGGGAAACAACCCAGACCGCCAGCUAAGGUCCCAAAUGUGUGCUAAGUGCUGUGAAGGAAGUGGAAUCUCUAAGACAGCCAGGAUGUUGGCUUAGAAGCAGCCAUCAUUUAAAGAGUGCGUAAUAGCUCACUGGUCGAGAGGUUCUGCGCCGAAAAUGAACGGGGCUCAAGCAUACAACCGAAGCUGCGGAAUAUAGACAUCUGUCAUGGUGUCUAGAUUGGUAGGGGAGCGUUCCAGGCGAGUGAAGGCAGACGGUAACGACCUCUGGACGCCUAGGAAGUGAUUAUGCCACAAUUAGUAGCGAGAAAGCAGGUGAGAAUCCUGCUCGCCGCAAACCCAAGGGUUCCUGGGCACGGUAAAUCCGCCCAGGGUUAGUCGGACCCUAAGACGAGGCCGAAAGGCGUAGUCGAUGGACAACAGGUUAAUAUUCCUGUACCACGGCAUAAGCGUUAUCACCAAUGGGGAGACGCGGGAGGAAAAGUGAUCGCACUGACAGUGUGCGUCUAAGCUUGAGGGUGGCAUGUAGGAAAAUCCGCAUGCAGAAGCCCAGGAGUGAUGGCGAGCCGCAAGGCGAAGUCACCGGACCAACCGCCGAGAAAAUCCUCUAGGGAGUUAUUCUGGCGUCCGUACCAAAACCGACACAGGUGGGUGAGGUGAAUAUCCUAAGGCGCUCGAGAGAAAUGCUGUUAAGGAACUCGGCAAAUUAACCCCGUAACUUCGGGAAAAGGGGUGCCCUUUGAGGUUCAGACCUUUACGGUCAAAGCCCCAGGGGGCCGCAGAGAAAUGGCUGCUGCAACUGUUUACUAAAAACACAGGUCUGUGCAAAGUCAAAACGACGACGUAUACAGACUGACGCCUGCCCAAUGCUGGAAGGUUAAGAGGAGGGGUUAGCGCAAGCGAAGCUCCGAAUUGAAGCCCCAGUGAAUGGCGGCCGUAACUAUGACGGUCCUAAGGUAGCGAAAUUCCUUGUCGGGUAAGUUCCGACCCGCACGAAAGGCGUAAUGACAGUGGCUCUGUCUCAACGGCAUGCUCGGCGAACUUGUAGCUGUGGUGAAGAUGCCACGUUCCCGCGUCAAGACGGAAAGACCCCGUGAACCUUUACUAUAGCCUGAUAUUGGGGCUUGUUAUGUAGUGCGUAGGAUAGGUGGGAGACGUUGAAGCCUGGCUUUCGGGUCGGGUGGAGUCACCGGUGAAAUACCACUCUCUGCAUGAUAGGUCUCUAACACGGCGCCGUGAAUCCGGGCCGUAGACAGUGUCAGGUGGGUAGUUUGGCUGGGGCGGUCUCCUCCAAAAAGGUAACGGAGGAGCACGAUGGUGCACUCAGUGCGGUUGGCAAUCGCACGCAGAGCGUAAGGGUAUAAGUGCGCCUGACUGCAAGAGAUAUAGCCCGAGCAGGUACGAAAGUAGGUCCCAGUGAUCCGGCGGAUUCCGGAGUGGAAGGGCCGUCGCUCAUCAGAUAAAAGGUACUCCGGGGAUAACAGGCUGAUCGCGCCCAAGAGUUCAUAUCGACGGCGCGGUUUGGCACCUCGAUGUCGGCUCAUCGCAUCCUGGGGCUGAAGGAGGUCCCAAGGGUUUGGCUGUUCGCCAAUUAAAGCGGUACGCGAGCUGGGUUUAGACCGUCGUGAGACAGGUCGGUCCCUAUCUGACGUGGGUGAAGGAUGAUUGAGGAGGUUUGUCCCUAGUACGAGAGGAUUGGGACGGACGGUCCUCUGGUGCUCCAGUUAUCACGCUCGUGGUACAGCUGGGUAGCUAAGACCGGAACGGAUAAGUGCUGAAUGCAUCUAAGCGCGAAGCCCUCUCCAAAACUAGUCAUCCCUAUUAGCCCCCUAGCAGACUACUAGGUUGAUAGGCCGGCGGUGCAAGCAUGGCAACAUGUUCAGCUUACCGGUACUAAUCGGGCAAUCGGCUUAACCAC